GCGCGCUUAGCUCAGUUGGGAGAGCGCUACCUUGACAGGGUAGAGGUCACUGGUUCGACCCCAGUAGCGCGCACCA
RNAcentral lists this transfer RNA (76 nucleotides) under Armatimonadota bacterium. RNAcentral's name for it is "Armatimonadetes bacterium (freshwater metagenome) tRNA-Val". It matches the Rfam family "tRNA". Rfam says of the family: Transfer RNA (tRNA) molecules are approximately 80 nucleotides in length. Their secondary structure includes four short double-helical elements and three loops (D, anti-codon, and T loops). Lineage: Bacteria; Bacillati; Armatimonadota. The record is from RNAcentral.